This 250-nucleotide long non-coding RNA is filed under the name Medicago truncatula (barrel medic). RNAcentral's name for it is "long non-coding RNA (MTRU_LNC004153)". Lineage: Eukaryota; Viridiplantae; Streptophyta; Magnoliopsida; Fabales; Fabaceae. The record is from RNAcentral.
AGAGUCUUUCAUUUGCAUUGUAUUGUGAACACCAUUGAUUGUAUAUCAAGUGUUCAAACUCAAACAAUUUUAUGUGUAAUUCUGUUUGAAUAGAAGUCUCUUGCUUUAGUGCUUGAGCAUAGGAAGUCUCUUGCUUUAGUGCUUGAGCAAAGGAAGUCUCUUGCCUGCGUGCUUGAGCAAUUUGAAGUCUUAUACUAGGUGUGGUAUUGAGUAGUUGUAAUCUGUGUGAUUAAACUUAGUGAAAAUCUCC